GCCCAACAAGGAACUGAGGGUGAGCACAGCCCUUGCCUUCCCAUUCAAUGCAUCAGAGGAUCCCCACGUUCUCUUCUCCGCCUGGCCCCAGAAGGUGCCACAGCCUCAGUGAAGACCAAGUGGAGAGGAGGCAGAAUUGUCCCCAGGGCUGUCUGUGGUGGAGAUGACAUGAUGGCACAAUGUGAUGGAGAUGACACGAUGGAGAUGGCAUGCAGUGCUGGAUGAGUGCGGGAUAGGGGAAGGUAUGUGCAGCUACUGAUUGGGUUGGGAUGUGAAGUUCUGCUUCAUGGCGCCGCGCCUGGGAAUGUCAUGGCAGAGCCUGAGCCUCCCAAGAUCGUACAGAUGAACAUUUGUUCAUCUUUUUGACAUCACAGGGUGGGGCAUAACAUCAGUCGUGAUACUGAAUCUCCACUGAUCCCAUAACACCGUCAUAGAAGGCCGGUAUGUUGUGGCCAGGCCAUGCUGGGAAUUCUAUGGCUGGUGCGGGGGAAAGGCGUUGUGAUUUCACAGAGUGGGGCAUGGCAUCAGUCUUUGUCAAGUCACGUUGGCAGCCUCCUCCAGCUCAGACACGUGGGGCGGCCGCUCCGUCCUGGUGGUCACUGCUGGAGCUCUGCUCUGGGUGACAGCCACUUGCGUGUUGAGAUUGUUCUUUGGGAGAGAACAGGAUGAAGCUGAUCCUGACUCUCUUCCUGGCCAUCGCUCUAUCCAUGUCUCCAUUUGCUGGAUAUGGCCCUGGCGGUGCCGUCUAUACCAGGUCAGGUACAGGGGCAGCAAGGCUGUCGUUCCAGAGGGCCCAAAGCAGCAGUCCUUGGAGCCCAGCCCGAAGGCUGACAUCGUGCCUGGCAUCGUGGGCCACCUGCGGAAAAACCUUGCCCAAGGAUUGAUAGCCUGUCUCCUCAAACAUGCCUUGAUAGACAUCUGCAUUCUCUGCUUGCCGAGGAUUGCCCGCGGCCUCUGGAGAAGAGUAAGAAGACUUUGGAGACAGAUCACUGUCUUUGGGAACUGGCGACAUUAUCAAAGAAACCAGUGGGGAGGUGGUUUA
Molecule: long non-coding RNA, 1042 nt
Filed under: Numida meleagris (helmeted guineafowl)
Lineage: Eukaryota; Metazoa; Chordata; Aves; Galliformes; Numididae
Description: lncRNA (ENSNMEG00000000831.1)
Source: RNAcentral